This 448-nucleotide ribosomal RNA is filed under the name uncultured bacterium. RNAcentral's name for it is "bacterial SSU rRNA". It matches the Rfam family "Bacterial small subunit ribosomal RNA", at positions 329 to 794 of the family's 1533-position model. The record is from RNAcentral.
CUCCAGACUCCUACGGGAGGCAGCAGUGGGGAAUAUUGCACAAUGGGGGAAACCCUGAUGCAGCGACGCCGCGUGAGCGAUGAAGUAUUUCGGUAUGUAAAGCUCUAUCAGCAGGGAAGAAAAUGACGGUACCUGACUAAGAAGCCCCGGCUAACUACGUGCCAGCAGCCGCGGUAAUACGUAGGGGGCAAGCGUUAUCCGGAUUUACUGGGUGUAAAGGGAGCGUAGACGGUCCUGCAAGCCAGAUGUGAAAGCCCGGGGCUCAACCCCGGGACUGCAUUUGGAACUGUGCGGCUGGAGUGUCGGAGAGGCAGGCGGAAUUCCUAGUGUAGCGGUGAAAUGCGUAGAUAUUAGGAGGAACACCAGUGGCGAAGGCGGCCUGCUGGACGAUGACUGACGUUGAGGCUCGAAAGCGUGGGGAGCAAACAGGAUUAGAUACCCGCGUAGU